This 253-nucleotide ribosomal RNA is filed under the name uncultured bacterium. RNAcentral describes it as "partial 16S ribosomal RNA". It matches the Rfam family "Bacterial small subunit ribosomal RNA", at positions 524 to 776 of the family's 1533-position model. The record is from RNAcentral.
GACAGAGGAGGCAAGCGUUAUCCGGAAUUAUUGGGCGUAAAGCGUCCGUAGGUGGUUUGACAAGUCUGGGGUUAAAGCCCGGAGCCCAACUCCGGAUCAGCCCUGGAAACUGUCCGACUUGAGUAAGGUAGGGGCUGCGGGAAUUCCCGGUGUAGCGGUGAAAUGCGUAGAUAUCGGGAGGAACUCCAGCGGCGAAAGCGCGCAACUGGGCCAUUACUGACACUGAGGGACGAAAGCUAGGGGAGCGAAUGGG